AAAAUUGUCCACUUCAUAUAUCAAUGACAGCCAAGCAUCCAAAAGGAAUAUAUACAUGUCACAUAAAAGCAGUCCAUAAAAGCAGUCCAUAAAAGGAAUAUAUACAUGUUGCAUACAACAGUACUGCUACAUACAUAUAUGCCGCCACCAGUCUAAUUAUCAUCCAUCACACUGCACAACGCAAUGCAGUGAUAGCAAAAUACAUGGAUAGAAAGCCUCCUAGGUUGAAGAUCAGGGACAUCAGUUACAUACAUAUCACUUCAGAAAAGUGAAUGCAACAAAAGGAUAAGAAGGCGUGGAACAUAUGGUACUUCUACACUCGUAUCCAAAAUACCGNNNNNNNNNNACCGGCCAUGGAUCGCCAAAGAUCAACAGGUCCUUGCAUACCUACUCAACUCUAUGACACCAGAAAUCCUUGGACAGGUCAUCGGGAAGGAUUCUACCUUCGAGCUGUGGACAACGGUGACGACCCUCUUCGCCUCACAGUCGCAAUCCAGGAUCACAAACCUGAGAAUAGCGAUCACCACAACCAAGAAGGGCUCCAUGUCAAGAUCUACAUUCAUGGCAAAGAUGAAGAACCUUGCAGAUGAAUUAGCUGUUGUUGGCCGUCCGGUGUCAGAUCCGGAGAUGGUGGACUAUAUCCUUGCAGGGCUAGACCGUGACUACGAUCCUGUGGUUGCGGCGGUUGGUGCCGUCAAGAACUUGAUCAUGGCGGAUGACCUCUUCGCUCAAAUUUCUGCUUUUGACCAGAGGAUGGAGAUGCUUGGCGAUUCAUCUUCAGGCAGCUUUCACACAUCUGCAAACGCGGCUUACAGAGGCUGUGGCCAAAACCAUGGCAGAUCCAACGCGGGCGAGGAGGAAGGGGGAGCGGCCGUGGUGACCGCCAGCCCUCUCCUACUGGUGGAGGCGACAACUACAGAGGACGCCCUCGUCAGCAACAGCAGCAGCAGCAAGGGCGUGAUCAGCAACAGCAUGACUACGCUGGAUGUCAGAUAUGCUACAAGCAUCAUCCAGGGGUGCACGCACAUGUUGGUGGCGCUAUGAAGAAAAUGAUCAUGAGGAAGAGGGGGCACACGUUGUUUCCUAUGGUGUAGAUACCAACUGGUAUGCCGACGCCGGAGCUACAAACCACAUCACCGGGGAACUUGACAAGCUGACGAUGCAAGAGAAGUACAAUGGAGGCGACCAAAUUCACACGGCGAGUGGUUCUGGUAUGGAAAUAAAACAUAUUGGUAGUUCAAUUGUUAAAAAUCCCGUAAAAAACUUGCACUUAAAAAAGAUCUUGCAUGUUCCUGAAACAUCAAAAAAAUCUUGUUUCCGUUCAUCGAUUCACUCUUGACAACAAUGUUCUUAAAGAGUUUUAUCCUUAUUUUUUCUUGGUUAAGGACCUAGCCACGGGGAGAAUCAUUCUUAGAGGACGGUGCGUGGGAGGUCUCUAUCCACUUAUAUCAUCAUCAUCAUCAUGGUCCAAUAAACAAGCAUAUGUCGUCACUAAGGCAUUUUCAGCAAAGUGGCAUAGUCGCUUGGGGCAUCCAUCUUCAGUUAUUGUUAGAUAUGUUCUUAGUAAGAAUAAACUCUCAUAUGAGUCUAGUGUUGAGUCAGUUUAUGGCCAAAAGUCACCAGUUACCCACUACCAGAAACUGUACUUUUCCCCACGGCCAGAAACCCACAAGAAAUUGAUGAUUACCGUCAGGAAAACAUUUCCUGUCAGUCAAACGUCAGGAAAAGUCCGACAGGAAUAAAACGACAAGCAAACACGUGAAUGCCUGAUGGUUAACCGACAGGAAUUAUUUUCCUGGCGGUUAUUCCUGUCGGACACUCACAGGAAGAUGCUGACCGUCAGGUUUAUGCGUCAACUUCUUGUGACGGCUCCCUUCAGGAAAAGGACGUCAAGAAAAUCAUAUUUCGUGUCAGUCUAUCCGACAGGAAAAUGGCAGUGGAUCACAAAGUGGACAAUCCACAGGAAAAUAACUUAGCCUACAGGAAAUCAUGCCGCAGGUGAUUAACCAUGCAUAUAUCAAUAUAAAUUCAUCUGGUAGAAAGAUACUAAGAAAAUUGUCCACUUCAUAUAUCAAUGACAGCCAAGCAUCCAAAAGGAAUAUAUACAUGUCACAUAAAAGCAGUCCAUAAAAGCAGUCCAUAAAAGGAAUAUAUACAUGUUGCAUACAACAGUACUGCUACAUACAUAUAUGCCGCCACCAGUCUAAUUAUCAUCCAUCACACUGCACAACGCAAUGCAGUGAUAGCAAAAUACAUGGAUAGAAAGCCUCCUAGGUUGAAGAUCAGGGACAUCAGUUACAUACAUAUCACUUCAGAAAAGUGAAUGCAACAAAAGGAUAAGAAGGCGUGGAACAUAUGGUACUUCUACACUCGUAUCCAAAAUACCGCAAAGACGAUUAGUCAUCAAUUGCCAUGCAAGUAGACUAGUGAGAUCCUCCUCGAGAGGCACCAUGAAGAUUGAAGCCACAGUUGUUAUCGUUAACACCAAUGUUCCCCUCAUCAUUGUCGCCUUCAAUAUUGCCAUGGCUGACGUCAUGGUCGAUAGGGACAGGGACAUCCUCUGAGCUAACAUGAGAUGAAUCGGUAUUUACCUGCAAAGUCAUACACAACAUUUAAUGAGAACAAGCAC
Molecule: long non-coding RNA, 2629 nt
Filed under: Triticum aestivum (bread wheat)
Lineage: Eukaryota; Viridiplantae; Streptophyta; Magnoliopsida; Poales; Poaceae
Description: long non-coding RNA (TAES_LNC011254)
Source: RNAcentral